UACGUAGGGUGCGAGCGUUGUCCGGAAUCAUUGGGCGUAAAGGGCGCGUAGGUGGCCCGGUCAGUCUUUGGUGAAAGCGCGGGGCUCAACCCUGCGUCGGCCAGGGAUACUGCCGCGGCUCGAGCACUGUAGAGGCAGGCGGAAUUCCGGGUGUAGCGGGGGAAUGCGUAGAGAUCCGGAAGAACACCGGUGGCGAAGGCGGCCUGCUGGGCAGUUUAGCUGACACUGAGGCGCGACAGCGUGGGGAGCAAACAGG
This 256-nucleotide ribosomal RNA is filed under the name uncultured bacterium. RNAcentral's name for it is "partial 16S ribosomal RNA". It matches the Rfam family "Bacterial small subunit ribosomal RNA", at positions 524 to 776 of the family's 1533-position model. The record is from RNAcentral.